This 358-nucleotide ribosomal RNA is filed under the name uncultured bacterium. RNAcentral describes it as "bacterial SSU rRNA". It matches the Rfam family "Bacterial small subunit ribosomal RNA", at positions 29 to 409 of the family's 1533-position model. The record is from RNAcentral.
AGCGAACGCUGGCGGCAGGCUUAACACAUGCAAGUCGAACGCGCGUAGCAAUACGUGAGUGGCAGACGGGUGAGGAACACGUGGGAAUAUGCCCUUUGGUUCGGAAUAACUCAGGGAAACUUGAGCUAAUACCGGAUAUCUCCGAGAGGAGAAAGAUUUAUCGCCAAAGGAUUAGCCCGCGUCUGAUUAGCUAGUUGGUGAGGUAACGGCUCACCAAGGCGACGAUCAGUAGCCUGGUCUGAGAGGAUGAUCAGCCACACUGGGACUGAGACACGGCCCAGGACUCCUACGGGAGGCAGCAGUGGGAAUAUUGGACAAGUGGGACGCAAGCCUGAUCCAGCCAUGCCGCGUGAGUGAU